GAUUAUUGAGUGUUUGUGAAAGUUCUUGAGCAUAGAUGAAAUGAUUGAUCGGUUGUCUAGUCGAUGUACAAAGGGUUAGUGUCAUGACUUAGAAUAAAAACAACGGUCCACCUACUGAGAGUAAUGCAUGGAAGCGAAGAGAGGUGACGGAGGAAGAGCAAACAGUGCUAGCAAAAUGCAAAUUUAGGUGGUAGGCAGAUGAGUGGCAAUUAAUCCAAAUAGACGAAGCCUUGGUGGUUUUAUGCUGUGAGAGC
RNAcentral lists this long non-coding RNA (254 nucleotides) under Populus trichocarpa (black cottonwood). RNAcentral's name for it is "long non-coding RNA (PTRI_LNC000221)". The record is from RNAcentral. Lineage: Eukaryota; Viridiplantae; Streptophyta; Magnoliopsida; Malpighiales; Salicaceae.